Molecule: ribosomal RNA, 247 nt
Filed under: uncultured bacterium
Lineage: Bacteria
Description: partial 16S ribosomal RNA
Rfam family: Bacterial small subunit ribosomal RNA
Source: RNAcentral
UACGGGGGGGGCAAGCGUUGUUCGGAAUUACUGGGCGUAAAGGGCUCGUAGGCGGCCAACUAAGUCAUACGUGAAAUCCCUCGGCUUAACCGGGGAACUGCGUCUGAUACUGGAUGGCUUGAGUUCGGGAGAGGGAUGCGGAAUUCCAGGUGUAGCGGUGAAAUGCGCAGAUAUCAGGAGGAACACCGAUGGCGAAGGCAGGUCUCUGGGCCAUAACUGACGCUGAGAAGCGAAAGCAUGGGAGCGA